Molecule: ribosomal RNA, 199 nt
Filed under: uncultured bacterium
Lineage: Bacteria
Description: partial 16S ribosomal RNA
Rfam family: Bacterial small subunit ribosomal RNA
Source: RNAcentral
ACGCUCGACACCUACGGGAGGCAGCAGGUGGGGAAUAUUGCACAAUGGAGGAAACUCUGAUGCAGCGAUGCCGCGUGAGGGAAGAAGGUUUUCGGAUUGUAAACCUCUGUCUUUGGGGACGAUAAUGACGGUACCCAAGGAGGAAGCUCCGGCUAACUACGUGUCAGCAGCCGCGGUAAUCUGAGCGGGCUGGCAAGGC